CCCCUCUCAGGGUCAUACCUGGAGAGUUUCCAGUACUCUACCAAUCUUGACUAUGGGAGGGAGAGUCAAGCAGAAGCCUAUCGAUUCCAUACUUAGCUUGGGCAAUGGCUAGUGAGUGGAAGGUACUCUGCUACAAAU
Small nucleolar RNA from Ornithorhynchus anatinus (platypus), 138 nucleotides. The record is from RefSeq and is a predicted model, not a curated record. Lineage: Eukaryota; Metazoa; Chordata; Mammalia; Monotremata; Ornithorhynchidae.